Sebastes umbrosus (honeycomb rockfish) is the source of this 1046-nucleotide long non-coding RNA. RefSeq lists it as uncharacterized. The record is from RefSeq and is a predicted model, not a curated record. The transcript has 3 exons. Lineage: Eukaryota; Metazoa; Chordata; Actinopteri; Perciformes; Sebastidae.
AGCUUUUGGUGGGCAUGCUAAUAAUUCAUUGGCAACCCAGAUGAAUUUAUCAACAUUUUUAUUAGAUCCUCUUCUCUCCUGUGGAGAUGCAUUUUAUUAUUCAAAUUGUAUGUGUAAAACCAUAGCAUUUUGAUUAAAACACUUAGAACCAGGACAUCUAAACAAUUCAUGGGUGAACAUCUAAAAAAGGUGGAUAAUACCAGAUGCAUUGGCUCAUGGAAGCUUCCAAGUCCCUGACUCAUUCUGCCUCUCAGAGGGCUAUUGUUUUUUUCCCUCUGUGCUCAUUGGGAAACACUUCUGUCACACAUGUAGAAGGCUACAAACGCCCCUUUUUUAUGUAAGACUUCAGUUUUGUGUGACCACAGCGUUGUGCCUGCACUGUGCACUCCAAACACCUGGAUUAUCACAUGGAUGGAUGAAGGGUGUUUAUCUGCAUUUGCUUUCAUACCUUCACAUUACUUAUAGUUUUAUAGUUUAAGUGUCUGUACUAUUUGCUUGAGCAAAGCAGAAAGUAAAUAAGUCAGUUGGGUGUAUUGAACAUUUAUUGGGAUAUGAAAGAACCAGAACUACAGAAAUGCACAAGAACAUACUUUACUCAUUCAUCCCAUUAGCUAAACAGUUGGAGCAGACUAUUCACUUUUAAACCUCACUGGAAGCUGAUUGGUUGACACCAGCAGCACAUUCACCUCCAGUUUCAACACUGCAAAACUUGCUCAACCGCUGUAGACUCUAAAUCAUCUUAACAAUGGCUCCCUUAACACAGUUGCUUUGAGCAUAUACUUUAUGUACAUGAAUAGAGAUACUUUGAGAUUUUACUAUAGCCCUUAAAGGGAGAUUAUGUAACUUUUUGAGGUAAAUACAAAAUUACAAAUACAAAAUCUAAUUCAUAAGCAAUAGGACACUAUUGUUCAAUUCAAUACACUCAGGGGUUCUGCUGCUACAGCUUUACCUGGUCUGAUAUGACGACUAGCUUACGGUGGUUAAUGCAGCUAAUGUUAUUUGCUAAUUAGCCAAACAUCUUGUAAUGUAGUGACCCUGUUUUCAAC